This 376-nucleotide unclassified non-coding RNA is filed under the name uncultured Oligoflexaceae bacterium. Its description in RNAcentral is "contains 16S-23S intergenic spacer region". Lineage: Bacteria; Pseudomonadati; Bdellovibrionota; Oligoflexia; Oligoflexales; Oligoflexaceae. The record is from RNAcentral.
UCCGGUUUGUCACCGGCAGUCUCAUUAGAGUGCCCAACUGAAUGUAGCAACUAAUGACAAGGGUUGCGCUCGUUGCGGGACUUAACCCAACAUCUUACGACACGAGCUGACGACAACCAUGCAGCACCUAUCUCACUGUCCCCGAAGGGAAAGCCUCAUCUCUGAGGAUGUCAGUGGAUGUUAAGCCCAGGUAAGGUUCUGCGCGUUGCUUCGAAUUAAACCACAUACUCCACCGCUUGUGCGGGCCCCCGUCAAUUCCUUUGAGUUUUAGUCUUGCGACCGUACUCCCCAGGCGGAUUACUUAAUGCGUGAGCUCCGGUACCCAGGAGGUUAACAUCCCGGACACCUAGUAAUCAUAGUUUACGGCGUGGACUAC